UGGCCUAAACAUCCUACUCCCCGUUCCCUUCGCCUCACUUUGCCCCGUCGGCCACCACCGUCAUUGCCGAACCUACAGCAACAAAAUCGCCUCCUCUGGAGCAAUCCAUGGACUGGCUUGCCAUUUGGUAAGGUAGAUGCUAUAUUUUUUCUUUUUGCUACUGUAUGCAUUAUCCUUCGUAUUGAUUUUGUUUUGGCCAUCAACUAAUUUUGUAGUAUAUCAUCACCUUAUGCAACCGAAUUUGUUGUUUUAUGUAAACUUACAGCUGAGAAAUUGAAUGGCCCAAACUUUGACCCAUGACUGCUUGUUCAUUCUUAGCGGCUAGGUGUGAGCAUGUUGUUACAUCUCAUCUCAUUGAUUCGUCCUAUAAAUUUUUUUUGGCAGAAUGGGGAGGCAGUUGGUUGGCCUGAAUUCUAGUGAUUCUCUGUCGAUUGACCAAUCAGUUCAAUAUGUUGAGAAAUUGUUCGAGGAAAGUUACAGCCACUAAUUAAUGGAUCUCUGAAGCUUCUUGUUGGUUGGUUUUCUCUACAAAUUUUGUUGUUAACUUGCAUAGCUGUACCGUCAAUUGUGGAAUUGAUACACUGGAGUUGCAUAAUAUGUGCAAAUUUUGUUAAUGUUCUCUGCAAGUAAUAGUAGAAAAUAUGAUGCUAAUUCUAGAGGCAGAUACGUGAACUCUUAGGUGGAACAAAAGCAUCCUUGUUGGUAGCAUCGCUCCCAAAGACAAACAUUUUCCUAGAAAGAUUUUGUUUGUUAAACUAGUAUAAUACCAAUUUUUUUUCUUCUUUCUUCUGUUACCUCGCUCUUUUCUAAGAAAAAAAUGUCAGGAUUAGCUUUUACACUAGCAGUAACAAAAUUCUCUUUUGUUUUUGGUUUGCUUGUUGUUUUCUCUGCAAAUUACAGUUGCACCAUCAAUAAAAUAAAAGACCAUUUGGGCGUAAUUAUUGUUAUUUUGCCCCUUUAACUAAUCAAUCACCUAUACUUGUACAGUGCAUAGACUAAAGUUGCGCAAAGCUUAACCAAAAUUUGCAUAAUCUAAAAUAUGAAACUUCUGCAUAAACUAGAUGUAACUUUGGCAUAAAUAAAGUGCAAUAUACUAUUUAAUUCGUAUUUUCCAUUAAUUGAAUCAACCUACAUGAAUCUAUAUCAGGAGAAAAUCUGUUUAUUUCUUAUUUUAUUAUAUUAGGAGAAAAUAUGUUUGAUUAAUGAUUAACUGUAGGACUUGUACCAAAAUUGCACCCUCUUCUUGCUAUAGUUGCAAUUUUCCGUAAUUUGCAACUUCAGUUAUAAAUUUGUGCAACUUAAGUUUUAAAUUUAUGCAACUAUAUCUGCACGUGCUAGCUGGAGGAUGGAGAAACAAUAUGUGCUAAUCAAUUUGAUGAAGUGAAAUCCAUGUCUGCAUUUGUAUGUGUGUAUUUUGGGGUAUUGGUAUGUUGGAAAUUUAUGUCGAGGUAGUUUAUUAUUAUGUGAUUUUAAAAGUAUAAAGAUCAUGUGCAACUUCAUUAAAUAAACAUGCACGCAACUUCAGUUAUAAAUGUCUACAACUUCUGUUACAAAUUUGUGCAAGUAUUGGUCCGCUUUCAAUACUUGAAUAAUGAGAAUUCUUGAGAAUAUUUUCAGUUGUCAUUUUUGCAGGGAAUCACAAAAAGGAUCAUUUUUUUUACAAAGGGAGUUGGCAUGGAUAAAGGCAAUUUCUCCUAGGUUUCAAAGUAAUGUCAGUAGUUAGUAAGUUAAUACAACAUAGCACUAUCUAGAUUCAUAUGGAUGAUAAUAAAUCUAGACAUAUAUACAAACAAUAUAUAUUGAUCAAUAGAUUAAUCUAAGAAUGUGGAUGAUGCUAUCAUACACAACAUAAGCUUAGUUAGGAUUUAAAUGACAAUGACAUCAAUGGUCUGCAGCAAAUUCCACUUUUGUAUAAUUCUUCGCUGGCCCAAAUAUAGAAAAGAUACACGUCCACUGUAUAUUUAUGCUACUUUAUUUGUUGUGCACAAAAAUAUUUUGUUUUCCAUAUAGUCUUUCCAGUUAUGUAUGCUUGUUGACUACUGUGUCAUCUUGAGCAACAUAUAUAGUUUGUUGAGAACAUACUCAAAUGUGUACAAUCCGAGAGAACUUAUUACAUAAAUUAUUUUAUUUUUUGA
Molecule: long non-coding RNA, 2135 nt
Filed under: Oryza brachyantha (malo sina)
Lineage: Eukaryota; Viridiplantae; Streptophyta; Magnoliopsida; Poales; Poaceae
Description: long non-coding RNA (OBRA_LNC002547)
Source: RNAcentral